AGUGAACGCUGGCGGUAGGCCUAACACAUGCAAGUCGAACGGCAGCACAGUAAGAGCUUGCUCUUACGGGUGGCGAGUGGCGGACGGGUGAGGAAUACAUCGGAAUCUACUUUUUCGUGGGGGAUAACGUAGGGAAACUUACGCUAAUACCGCAUACGACCUACGGGUGAAAGCAGGGGAUCUUCGGACCUUGCGCGAUUGAAUGAGCCGAUGUCGGAUUAGCUAGUUGGCGGGGUAAAGGCCCACCAAGGCGACGAUCCGUAGCUGGUCUGAGAGGAUGAUCACACAAACUGGAACUGAGACACGGUCCGGACUCCUGCGGGAGGCAGCAGUCGGGAAUAUUGAGCAAUGGGCGCAAGCCUGAUCCAGCCAUACCGCGUGGGUGAAGAAGGCCUUCGGGUUGUAAAGACCUGUUGUUGGGAAAGAAAAGCAGCAGGUUAAUACCCCGCUGUUAUGACGGUACCCAAAGAAUAAGCACCGGCUAACUUCGUG
Molecule: ribosomal RNA, 492 nt
Filed under: uncultured bacterium
Lineage: Bacteria
Description: partial 16S ribosomal RNA
Rfam family: Bacterial small subunit ribosomal RNA
Source: RNAcentral